RNAcentral lists this ribosomal RNA (760 nucleotides) under Bacillus cereus. Its description in RNAcentral is "bacterial SSU rRNA". It matches the Rfam family "Bacterial small subunit ribosomal RNA", at positions 40 to 781 of the family's 1533-position model. The record is from RNAcentral. Lineage: Bacteria; Bacillati; Bacillota; Bacilli; Caryophanales; Bacillaceae.
UUGCGGCUCUAUACAUGCAGUCGAGCGAAUGGAUUAGAGAGCUUGCUCUUAUGAAGUUAGCGGCGGACGGGUGAGUAACACGUGGGUAACCUGCCCAUAAGACUGGGAUAACUCCGGGAAACCGGGGCUAAUACCGGAUAACAUUUUGAACCGCAUGGUUCGAAAUUGAAAGGCGGCUUCGGCUGUCACUUAUGGAUGGACCCGCGUCGCAUUAGCUAGUUGGUGAGGUAACGGCUCACCAAGGCAACGAUGCGUAGCCGACCUGAGAGGGUGAUCGGCCACACUGGGACUGAGACACGGCCCAGACUCCUACGGGAGGCAGCAGUAGGGAAUCUUCCGCAAUGGACGAAAGUCUGACGGAGCAACGCCGCGUGAGUGAUGAAGGCUUUCGGGUCGUAAAACUCUGUUGUUAGGGAAGAACAAGUGCUAGUUGAAUAAGCUGGCACCUUGACGGUACCUAACCAGAAAGCCACGGCUAACUACGUGCCAGCAGCCGCGGUAAUACGUAGGUGGCAAGCGUUAUCCGGAAUUAUUGGGCGUAAAGCGCGCGCAGGUGGUUUCUUAAGUCUGAUGUGAAAGCCCACGGCUCAACCGUGGAGGGUCAUUGGAAACUGGGAGACUUGAGUGCAGAAGAGGAAAGUGGAAUUCCAUGUGUAGCGGUGAAAUGCGUAGAGAUAUGGAGGAACACCAGUGGCGAAGGCGACUUUCUGGUCUGUAACUGACACUGAGGCGCGAAAGCGUGGGGAGCAAACAGGAUUAG